GACGAACGCUGGCGGCGUGCUUAACACAUGCAAGUCGAACGGAAAGGCCCUGCUUUCGUGGGGUGCUCGAGUCGCGAACGGGUGAGUAACACGUGAGUAACCUGCCCUUGACUGUGGGAUAACCUCAGGAAACUGGGGCUACUACCGGAUAGGAGAUCCUGCUGCAUGGUGGGGGUUGGACAGCUUCGGCGGUUUGGGAUGGACUCGCGGCUUAUCAGCUUGUUGGUGGGGUAGUGGCUUACCAGGGCUUUGACGGGUAGCCGGCCUGGGAGGGUGACCGGCCACAUUGGGACUGAGAUACGGCCCAGACUCCUACAGGAGGCAGCAGUGGGGAAUAUUGCACAAUGGGCGGAAGCCUGAUGCAGCAACGCCGCGUGCGGGAUGACGGCCUACGGGUUGUAAACCGCUUUCGCCUGUGACGAAGCGUGAGUGACGGUAAUGGGUAAAGAAGCACCGGCUAACUACGUG
Molecule: ribosomal RNA, 468 nt
Filed under: uncultured bacterium
Lineage: Bacteria
Description: partial 16S ribosomal RNA
Rfam family: Bacterial small subunit ribosomal RNA
Source: RNAcentral